Molecule: ribosomal RNA, 445 nt
Filed under: uncultured bacterium
Lineage: Bacteria
Description: bacterial SSU rRNA
Rfam family: Bacterial small subunit ribosomal RNA
Source: RNAcentral
UGACGGGGGCCCGCACAAGCGGAGGAACAUGUGGUUUAAUUCGAUGAUACGCGAGGAACCUUACCUGGGCUUAAAUGUAGAGUGCAUAGAGUGGAAACAUUCUUUUCCUUCGGGACCCUUUACAAGGUGCUGCAUGGUUGUCGUCAGCUCGUGCCGUGAGGUGUCGGGUUAAGUCCCAUAACGAGCGCAACCCUCAUCGCCAGUUGCCAUCACAUCAUGGUGGGGACUCUGGUGAAACUGCCGGUGCAAACCGUGAGGAAGGUGAGGAUGACGUCAAAUCAGCACGGCCCUUAUGCCCAGGGCUACACACGUGUUACAAUGGUCGGUACAACGGGCAGCUACACAGCGAUGUGGUGCUAAUCCCAAAAACCGAUCUUAGUUCGGAUCGGAGUCUGCAACUCGACUCCGUGAAGCUGGAUUCGCUAGUAAUCGCACAUCAGCCAGU